UAGGGAAUCUUCCACAAUGGACGCAAGUCUGAUGGAGCAACGCCGCGUGAGUGAAGAAGGUUUUCGGAUCGUAAAGCUCUGUGGUUGGUGAAGAAGGAUAGAGGCAGUAACUGGUCUGUAUUUGACGGUAAUCAACCAGAAAGUCACGGCUAACUACGUGCCAGCAGCCGCGGUAAUACGUAGGUGGCAAGCGUUGUCCGGAUUUAUUGGGCGUAAAGCGAGCGCAGGCGGAAUGAUAAGUAUGAUGUGAAAGCCCACGGCUCAACCGUGGAACUGCAUCGGAAACUGUCAUUCUUGAGUGCAGAAGAGGAGAGUGGAAGUCCAUGUGUAGCGGUGGAAUGCGUAGAUAUAUGGAAGAACACCAGUGGCGAAGGCGGCUCUCUGGUCUGCAACUGACGCUGAGGCUCGAAAGCAUGGGUAGCGAACAGG
RNAcentral lists this ribosomal RNA (429 nucleotides) under bacterium. RNAcentral describes it as "partial 16S ribosomal RNA". It matches the Rfam family "Bacterial small subunit ribosomal RNA", at positions 355 to 776 of the family's 1533-position model. The record is from RNAcentral.